Molecule: non-coding RNA, 1524 nt
Organism: Pelobates cultripes (western spadefoot toad)
Lineage: Eukaryota; Metazoa; Chordata; Amphibia; Anura; Pelobatidae
Source: the annotation of a GenBank genome assembly
CUUCCAUACCUCACAAUUAGUGAGGAUGAUGUGUAUUCUCACUGUGAGUGACACAAUUGAUCAUAGGGCCCAUUGUACAGCGCUACGGAAUUUGUUGGCGCUAUAUAAAUAAUAAAAUAAUAAUAGGGCCAGCAAAUUAGUGGAGUAUUUCUGUAGGAGAGACCUUUUCCAAAGUCUUAAUGGAAUGUAAACAGAAAAUUUCUAACCUUGAUUGUACCACACUGAUGCUCCAUAGGAUAGUUGGAUCUUGGAAUAUCAAUGACCACUUAAUCGAUGCAAUCAAAACACAUCCGACACUUUCAUAAACCUUGGCAACAGACCUUAAUUUUGGCUAACUCUCCCAGAAUUUUUCCCCACCCCCUCAAGACCAAGGAACCUUAGGGACUCCUUGGUGUAUGCAGAUAUACCACGAACACAAUCACCUAUGACCAACUGGCUCUCCAAUAUUAUAGGUAUGUGGACAUUGUAUCAACUGCAAUGGGAUCAUAUGCAUGGACCCCUUUCCAUGUCACAGAACAGGGAUGAAAUAUACCCUUAGGGACCUAGUGAAUUGUUCGAUAUUCUGUGUUGUAUAUUUAUAGAAGUGACCGUGCGGAUUGGCCUAUGUGGGUUAGACUAGCUGUCCAUUAACUGUUAGAAUAGGAGAGCACAAGGGUAAUAUCCAUAAUCACAAUAAGCUAUCUUAUGUUGCUAGAAACUUUGAUAGCUAUAGACGCCCUGUGGCACAACUAGGGUAGCUGGCAAUAGAUCAUGUCAAGGCACCCACGCAGGAGGGAGUUAAGAAGCUUAAACAGUGAGAACUUUAAUAAAGUUAUUAGACACCCUACACCCCCAUGGUAUCAAUACUGCCAAGGACUUCUUGUGCUUUUGAUAAACAUGCCCUCUUAUCAGUGUUUUUGGUUCUUUACAAACAUAGGUCCUCUCACAUACUGUUGUGUUUCCAUUCUUGUGACUAGAUUGCAAACUUUAAAUCCUACAGGUAGCCCUGGCGUUAUUGCCUACCACUUUUUUCCCCUUGAUAAAUUCCAGGAUCUUAAUUCCACUUCAUGCCUUGAAUCAAUUAUAUAGUACAGGGGUGCUCAAAAGGUAGGCUGCCAGAUGUCAUAAAACUACAACUGCUAUCCUGUUUGGCAUCCCUUUAGAAUGACAUUUAUCAUGGAAACUGUAAUUUUAAAACCUCUGGGAUCUACCUUUUGGGCAACCCUGAGAUAGUACUAUGUAUACUGGUCUACUGUGACAUAUCAGACUUUUUUUUUUUUUUUUGUUCCCACAUUUUUCUACCAGCUGGUGGUGUGAUGGAUAGAAAUGAAUGUGUGUAAAAUGUCUAUUUACUAUGUAUACCUGUGUUCAUUUAUUACUCAAAAUGGCUGCUGGAGUGUCCCUUUAACUGAACUUUUCUGUGUCAGUGUGAGUUCUUCGGUGUGCACGCUUUAUUACAUUUAAACCAUUUGGACUGGGGCAGAUAUUCAAGCAAACACUUGGUUUGGUCUAGAGCAAUUGUAGGCCUUGUCUAUUGUCUUUUUC